RNAcentral lists this ribosomal RNA (98 nucleotides) under Lacticaseibacillus paracasei. Lineage: Bacteria; Bacillati; Bacillota; Bacilli; Lactobacillales; Lactobacillaceae. The record is from RNAcentral.
GUGGUGGCGAUAGCAAGAAGGAUACACCUGUUCCCAUGCCGAACACAGAANGAGAGUAGUUGGUGGGAAACUGCCUGCGAGGGUAGGAAGCUGCCACG